Non-coding RNA from Drosophila melanogaster (fruit fly), 219 nucleotides. NCBI's taxonomy places the organism in Eukaryota, Metazoa, Arthropoda, Insecta, Diptera, Drosophilidae. The record is from Ensembl.
CAGUGAGAAAACACAGAACAAGCAAGCACAGUUCUCAAUUUGCAUCGGAAUGACUAUUAAUUGCACAGUGAACUUUGGCAUGGAGCAGCGGCAACAAAUCACCUGAUCACCCACAAUAAAUCAGUUUAAUUAAACUAGCUAUUUAACAUUUAAACGAAACACUAUUAACACACGACGACGUCUAGUGCAUAAACAAGGCAAUUUGCAAGCAGGCACAAU